Molecule: ribosomal RNA, 236 nt
Filed under: uncultured bacterium
Lineage: Bacteria
Description: partial 16S ribosomal RNA
Rfam family: Bacterial small subunit ribosomal RNA
Source: RNAcentral
GACGGGGGGAGCAAGCGUUGUUCGGAUUUACUGGGCGUAAAGGGCGCGUAGGCGGCGCAACAAGUCACUUGUGAAAUCUCCGGGCUUAACCCGGAGCGGCCAAGUGAUACUGUCGUGCUAGAGUGCGGAAGGGGCUACUGGAAUUCUCGGUGUAGCGGUGAAAUGCGUAGAUAUCGAGAGGAACACCUGCGGCGAAGGCGGGUAGCUGGGCCGACACUGACGCUGAGGCGCGAAAG